RNAcentral lists this long non-coding RNA (2211 nucleotides) under Anser brachyrhynchus (Pink-footed goose). Its description in RNAcentral is "lncRNA (ENSABRG00000018295.1)". Lineage: Eukaryota; Metazoa; Chordata; Aves; Anseriformes; Anatidae. The record is from RNAcentral.
CAGCACCUCCACAGCCACCUCAAGCAUCUCCCCAGCCACCUCCAGCACCUCCACAGAGACCUCCAGCACCUCCAGAGACACCUCAAGCAUCUCCCCAGACACCUCCAGCACCUCCCCAGUCACCUCCAGCACCUCCACAGCCACCUCCAGCACCUCCACAGAGACCUCCAAUACCUCCACAGCCACCUCCAGCACCUCCACAGACACCUCCAGCAUCUCCCCAGACACCUCCACCAUCUCCCCAGUGACUUCCAGCACCUCCCCAGCCACCUCCAGCACCUCCACAGCCACCUCCAGCACCUCCCCAGACACCCCUAGCAUCUCUCCAGUGACCUCCAGCACCACCCAAGACACCUCCAGCAUCUACCCGGAGACCUCCAGCAUCUCUCCACACACCUCCAGCACCUCCCCAGCCACCUCUAGCACCACCCCAGACACCUCCAGCACCUCCCCAGUGACCUCCACUAUCUCCCCAGUGACCUCCAGCACCGUCCCAGACACCUCCAGCACCUCCCCAGCCACCUCCAGCACCUUCCCAGCCACCUCCAGCACCUCCACAGAGACCUCCAGCACCUCCACAGACACCUCUAACAUCUCUCCAGUGACCUCCAGCACUACCAAAGACACCUCCAGCAUCUACCCGGAGACCUCCAGCAUCUCUCCACACACCUCCAGCACCUCCCCAGCCACCUCCAGCGCCUCACCAGCCACUUCCAGCAUCUCCCCAGUGACCUCCAGCAUCUCCCCAGACACCUCCAGCAUCUCCCCAGUGACCUCCAGCAUCUCUCCAGUGACCUCCAGAACCACCCCAGCCACCUCCAGCACCUCCCCAAACACCUCCAGCACCUCCACAGACACCUCCAGCAGCACCCUAGACACCUACAGCACCUCCCAAGCCACCCCCAACGUCUCCCCAGACACCUCCAGCAUCUCCCCAGUGACCUCCAGCAUCUCUCCAGUGACCUCCAUCACCUCCCCAGACACCUCCAGCACCACCCCAGCCACCUCCAGCACCUCCACAGACACCUCCAGCACCUCCCCAGACACCUCCACCAUCUCCCCAGUGACUUCCAGCACCUCCCCAGACACCUCCAGCACCUCCACAGGCACCUGCAGCACCACUCCAGACACCUCCAGCAUCUCCCCAGACACCCCCAGCAGCCCCCCAGUGACCACCAGCAUCUCCCCAGAAAUGUCCAGCACCACCCCAGACACCUCCACCAUCUCUCCAGUGACCUCCAGCACCUCCACAGACACCUCCAGCACCUCUACAGACACCUACACCAUCUCCCCAGUGACUUCCAGCACCACCCCAGCCACCUCCAGCACCUCCACAGACACCUCCAGCAUCUUUCCAGUGACCUCCAAGACCUCCCCAGACACCUCCAGCACCACCCCAUACACCUCCAGCACCUCCCCAGACACCUCCAGCAUCUCCCCAGUGACUUCCAGCACCACCCCAGCCACCUCCAGCACCUCCACAGAGACCUCCAGCAUCUCUCCAGUGACCUCCAACACCUCCACAAACACCUCCAGCACCUCCACAGACAGCUCCAGCAUCUCUCCAGUGACCUCCAACACCUCCCCAGACACCUCCAGCACCACCCCAUACACCUUCAGCACCUCCCCAGACACCUCCAGCAUAUCUCCAGUGACCUCCAGCAUCUCUCCAGUGACCUCCAGCACCUCCCCAGACACCUCCAGCAUCUCCCCAGUGACCUCCAGCACCUCCCCAGCCACCUCCAGCACCUCCACAGACACCUCCAGCACCUCCCCAGCCACCUCCAGCACCUCCACAGACACCUCCAGCACCACCCCUGACACCUCCAGCAUCUCCCCACAAACCUCCAGUACCUUUCCGGACACCUCCACCAUCUCUCCAGUGACCUCCAGCAUCUCCCCAGUGAACCCUAGCACCUCCCCAGCCACCUCCAGCAUCUCUCCAGUGAGCUCCAGCACCUCCCCCGACACCUCCAGCACAAUCCCAGUGAGCUUCAGCAUCUCCCCAGAGACUUCCAGCACCUCCCCAGUGACCUCCAGCAUCUCCCCAGUGAGCUCCAGCACCUCCCAAGAGGCCUCCAGCACCAUCCCAGUGACCUCCAGUACCAUCCCAGUGACCUCCAGCACCUCCCCAGAGACCUCCAGUACUAUCCUAGUGAGCUCCAGCACCAUCCCUGUGAGCUCCAGCACCUUCCCAGUGACCUCAAGCAG